GUUGAUUUGAUGUUGUUAUUGAUUGCUCACGACCUGCGGUUGUAUGUUUGGUUGCUCGGAAAGUGAAGGAAAAUGAAAAUUUAUUGUUAAAUUGUGUGUGUGGUGGGGGAGCUGGAUUUCAUCUGGGUAGACUAUAGAAUCGUUACUAAUUUCAGAUGGCCAAGAAAAAGGUUGUUAGAUGCUAAUUGAAGUAUUUGUAUGCGGGUGCGCGCGCACGUGUGGGGUUCAGCUGAAGGGGGUAUGGACUGUGUUGUAUGUUCAUGGUCUAGGCAUAAGGGAUGAGUACACUAGAUGCAACCAGAGCCGAACUUGCUCUUGCAGUUCUGUAUCUGAACAA
Malus domestica (apple) is the source of this 337-nucleotide non-coding RNA. The record is from RefSeq and is a predicted model, not a curated record. Lineage: Eukaryota; Viridiplantae; Streptophyta; Magnoliopsida; Rosales; Rosaceae.